AAAACAUCUUCUGCUCAAUGAGUUUUAAAUAGCUGCAGCUAACGCUGUACUAAGGUAGCACAAUCAUGUGCCUUAUAAUUAAAGGAUCGUAUAAAAGAAAUAACGAAUUUUAAACUCUAUCAAAAAUUAAAAUUAAAAUUUUAAUAAAAGUAAAAAUACCUUUACCUACUAAAAAGACGACAAGACCCCGAGAACUAAACUAAAGUUUUACUGGGGUGGUAAAAUAAAAAAAUCUUACUUCUACAACAAAAAUAAAUAAGUUACCUCAGGGAUAACAGCAUAAUUUAUUUUAAAAGUUCUUAUUUGAAAAUAAGAUUAUGACCUCGAUGUUGAAUUAAAAAAUCUAUAAUUAUGCAAUAAUAAUACAAGACAGUCUGUUCGACUAUUAAAAUUUUACA
Molecule: ribosomal RNA, 398 nt
Filed under: Parastalita stygia
Lineage: Eukaryota; Metazoa; Arthropoda; Arachnida; Araneae; Dysderidae
Description: partial large subunit ribosomal RNA
Source: RNAcentral